This 948-nucleotide unclassified non-coding RNA is filed under the name Pomacea canaliculata. RNAcentral describes it as "uncharacterized LOC112576889, transcript variant X7". Lineage: Eukaryota; Metazoa; Mollusca; Gastropoda; Architaenioglossa; Ampullariidae. The record is from RNAcentral.
ACCGAGCGAGAGUCGCAGAGAGCACAAACUUGUACACGUCAGUGCACAGAGAGAGACAAUGAUAUCUUUUAUUUACGAAUUACGAGGGUGGCAGAAUAGGCAAAACAUACUCCUCUCUCCCUGGUACAUUGAGAAUUCGCUUUAGAAAGGAAAAGAGUACGCUAUAUAUAUGUGACAACUUUACAAUUAUAUAUAACACAAAUAAAUGAUACAACAACACCUCGAUCCCUUUCAAGUUGCAUAUAAACAGCACAGAUCCACUGACGAUGCCACACUCACUCUUCUGCACAAUGCAUACUCUCACUUAGACAGGUAGAGAAUGGUCAGAUUAUGGGUCAUGUUAUACAGCCACCCCUGUCAUGGAAUGUGGUCGAUCCUGUUCGCCUGAAACCUUUGUUCAUUAUCACAGUAAGGGACAAUGAAUGUGUUGUUCUGUGUAGACAAGGCUGCAGUGCUCAGAUCAAGAUAUUGCUUGCUUGGUUAGAAGAGGAGUCAGAAUCUUUACGGGGAAAUUUUGAUCAACGGAUGCUCAGACAUUUACUCCAAGGGAAUGUUAGCUUCCUACACAGGAUAUACAACCUUGCUGAGCAGACUCGUUACUGGUCAUCACUGCAGCUCACUAAAGUGCCUGAGCCAUGUGGGUUUUCAAUAUCCCCAGUUACACCUGGUAUAUUCAAGGGGACUUAUGGUUCUCAUGGGCUGGAGUUCAUACAAAUCACUCUGAGGAUGGAUACACACUCCUGGGGAACAAACUGACAGGAGAUCCAAAUGUUCCUGCAGGAGAAACAAGUUUGUAUAUUGAUCUCAGGCAGCCCAUACGUCUGACAACAGAUGAGCAAAGAAAUAUUGACAUUUUGAAGAGUGUUACUGCUCCUAUUCUUCCUCAUCCAUUUCUAUUUGACCCUAGCGAGGUCCAACCCUUUUUCCUGUGCACUGACUUACUUGAGA